Molecule: non-coding RNA, 145 nt
Organism: Pan troglodytes (chimpanzee)
Lineage: Eukaryota; Metazoa; Chordata; Mammalia; Primates; Hominidae
Rfam family: Metazoan signal recognition particle RNA
About the family: The signal recognition particle (SRP) is a universally conserved ribonucleoprotein. It is involved in the co-translational targeting of proteins to membranes.
Source: Rfam
GCUGGGCAUGGUGACACAUGCCUGUAAUCCCAGCUGCUCGGGAGGCUGAGGCAGGAGAAUUGCUUGAACCCAGGAGUUGGAGGUUGCAGUGAGCUGAGAUCACACUGCACUCCAGCCUGGGCGACAAGGCAAGACUCUGUCUCCA